UACAGAGGUCCCAAGCGUUGUUCGGAUUCAUUGGGCGUAAAGGGUGCGUAGGCGGCGCGGUAAGUCGGGUGUGAAAUCUCGGAGCUUAACUCCGAAACUGCAUUCGAUACUGCCGUGCUUGAGGACUGGAGAGGAGACUGGAAUUUACGGUGUAGCGGUGAAAUGCGUAGAUAUGACAUAGAACACCCAUUGCGAAGGCAGCUAACUACGCGAUAAUUGACGCUGAUGCACGAAAGCGUGGGGAUCAAACAGG
Molecule: ribosomal RNA, 253 nt
Filed under: uncultured bacterium
Lineage: Bacteria
Description: partial 16S ribosomal RNA
Rfam family: Bacterial small subunit ribosomal RNA
Source: RNAcentral